CAAAUGGGUGGCAGGAACCUGAUCACUGAAGCCAUCAUUGUUGACACAGAUGGUCUGCAAUAUCAGGAAGAUGGAGUCAAAAGCUUGAGCCAGGAUUUAAACCCAGGCACUCUCAUCUGUAAACAUUCCAAAAGGAAUAGGACAUUGCAUUCUUGGCUGGAAAUGAAACAAGCAAGUGAAUCAUCUGAAAAUUCAGGGUUGGACUCCCUGCUAAUGUGCCUGGGAAAGAAGUAGAAGAUGGCCCAAGUUCUUGGGCCCCUGCAUCCAUGUGGAAGACCCAGACGAAGCUCCUGGCUCCUGGCUUCAGAUCAGCGCAACUCUAGCCAUUGCAGCCAAUU
This is a non-coding RNA of Oryctolagus cuniculus (rabbit), 338 nucleotides long. The record is from RefSeq and is a predicted model, not a curated record. Lineage: Eukaryota; Metazoa; Chordata; Mammalia; Lagomorpha; Leporidae.